This is a long non-coding RNA of Capsicum annuum, 845 nucleotides long. RefSeq lists it as uncharacterized. The transcript has 2 exons. Lineage: Eukaryota; Viridiplantae; Streptophyta; Magnoliopsida; Solanales; Solanaceae. The record is from RefSeq and is a predicted model, not a curated record.
AUUGCCUAAAUCCCUAAUCUAAUUGGGGUUAUUUUGACCCCAAUUAAAUCCAAUUGGGGUUAUUCGUCCAAGCCCAACAACAAAACAAUUUCAGCAAAGUAAUAUAGCCCCAGCAGCCCAAAUCCGUCACAUUCCUUUUUACCCAUUCAUCGGCCUACUCUAACAGCCCAAACCCAACCCAAUAACUUGUCUUCUUCAUAAUACCAACAAACGAUAACACACACACAUACAACAAUAUCAUCAACAACAAUAUCCAAACAACAGCGCAACCUGACCCACCGACCCGCUAUCAACGGUCACCCAGCAACGACCCAACCUGGCGACCCUGCAACACUCCAAACCAGCUGACCCAAACUUAACCGUUCUAUCAAACCAAACCCGUAACCUGUAACCCAUCAAUCCACAUGUAAAGUACAACUCAACACCAAAACAUUUCAAAAUUGUACGAGUUCGUAUGAUUUUAUAGCUCAUCACCUUAUUCUCAAGUUGAAUUUUGAAUUCCCCUUCCAAAAAUGUCAAAUUACUCUUCGAUUUUUCUAAUCCGACAUCGGUGGGAGCUCAAAAUUGAGCCCCUCAAUUCUUUUUAUACAAACCAGAUUGUAGAGCAAAUUGGACAAGUCUUGAAGGGGGGGAGGGUGAAAGAAACCUUUGAGCAAAAGUUUUUAUUUUUUAGUAAAAUUUUAUUUCGUAUAAAAAAUCAUCGAUCGUUCGAAGUUCUCGAAGUCACGAUAAAGCUUUCCAGUGGUGGUCAAGAUUUCAGAGAAGGCCCGAGUCCUGUUUUGCUGCUUCGAAACUGCCGAAAGAAAGCCCAAAGCUGGUUAAAUAGCGCAUGGAUACAAGGAGUC